Molecule: long non-coding RNA, 523 nt
Filed under: Pongo abelii (Sumatran orangutan)
Lineage: Eukaryota; Metazoa; Chordata; Mammalia; Primates; Hominidae
Description: lincRNA
Source: RNAcentral
GAAGAGGCUAUAAUUCAAACAAAUCUCUUCCAUAAUAGCUAUGGGAAUACUAAACAUUACUGGCCAAGUAAAUUGCUUUCUGUGUAAGUGUUCUCUUUUUUUUUGAAGUUUGCCCCAGUGUGAAAGUCUCUCUAAGAUUGGUAACUAAUGGGUAAUACACAACAUUCCAAGAUAGAUUCUGGUAUCUUGAGCCAACAUAUCAGGAGAACGGCACAGAAAAACUGAACAUUACCAGCCCCUCUACCUUAGCUAACUGCAAAAUGAACAACUUCCAAGGACUUACUGCUACUCUCCCACAAAAUGAAAAGUCUAUGUAUCAAGAUAUAGACUAGUACAGCUAAGCACAAGGCUCCUCCCCAGUCAAAGAAGAGCAGAGAGUGAAGAUCACUAUCAGUAAAAGCGCUGGCCUAGAGUUCCAUCACUAAACUGAUAUGUAACCCAAGGCAGGUCUUCUUUCUUUGAGUUUCAGUUUCAUCAUCUUUGAAGUGAGAAUAACAGAGCAUAAAAGUCAAACUUGAACCAA